This 497-nucleotide ribosomal RNA is filed under the name uncultured bacterium. RNAcentral describes it as "partial 16S ribosomal RNA". It matches the Rfam family "Bacterial small subunit ribosomal RNA", at positions 28 to 507 of the family's 1533-position model. The record is from RNAcentral.
GAUGAACGCUGGCGGCGUGCCUAAUACAUGCAAGUCGAGCGAACAGACGAGGAGCUUGCUCCUCUGACGUUAGCGGCGGACGGGUGAGUAACACGUAGAUAACCUACCUAUAAGACUGGGAUAACUUCGGGAAACCGGAGCUAAUACCGGAUAAUAUAUUGAACCGCAUGGUUCAAUAGUGAAAGACGGUUUUGCUGUCACUUAUAGAUGGAUCCGCGCCGCAUUAGCUAGUUGGUAAGGUAACAGCUUACCAAGGCAACGAUGCGUAGCCGACCUGAGAGGGUGAUCGGCCACACUGGAACUGAGACACGGUCCAGACUCCUACGGGAGGCAGCAGUAGGGAAUCUUCCGCAAUGGGCGAAAGCCUGACGGAGCAACGCCGCGUGAGUGAUGAAGGUCUUCGGAUCGUAAAACUCUGUUAUUAGGGAAGAACAAAUGUGUAAGUAACUAUGCACGUCUUGACGGUACCUAAUCAGAAAGCCACGGCUAACUACGUG